AGAAUCAACGCUGGCGGCGUGCCUAACACAUGCAAGUCGCACGAGAAAGUGGAGCAAUCCAUGAGUAAAGUGGCGCACGGGUGAGUAACACGUGAAUGAUCUACCUCCGAGUGGGGAAUAACUGAGAGAAAUCUUAGCUAAUACCGCAUAAUACCCACGGGUCAAAGCAGCAAUGCGCUUGGAGAGGAGUUCGCGGCCGAUUAGCUAGUUGGCGGGUAAUGGCCCACCAAGGCAAUGAUCGGUA
This 244-nucleotide ribosomal RNA is filed under the name uncultured bacterium. RNAcentral describes it as "partial small subunit ribosomal RNA". It matches the Rfam family "Bacterial small subunit ribosomal RNA", at positions 26 to 285 of the family's 1533-position model. The record is from RNAcentral.